CCUACGGGUGGCUGCAGUGGGGAAUAUUGGACAAUGGGGGAACCCUGAUCCAGCCAUGCCGCGUGUGUGAAGAAGGCCCUCGGGUUGUAAAGCACUUUCAGUGAGGAAGAACGCCUGGUGGUUAAUACCCAUCAGGAAAGACAUCACUCACAGAAGAAGCACCGGCUAACUCUGUGCCAGCAGCCGCGGUAAUACGGAGGGUGCGAGCGUUAAUCGGAAUUACUGGGCGUAAAGCGCGCGUAGGUGGCUUGAUAAGCCGGUUGUGAAAGCCCCGGGCUCAACCUGGGAACGGCAUCCGGAACUGUCAAGCUAGAGUGCAGGAGAGGAAGGUAGAAUUCCCGGUGUAGCGGUGAAAUGCGUAGAGAUCGGGAGGAAUACCAGUGGCGAAGGCGGCCUUCUGGACUGACACUGACACUGAGGUGCGAAAGCGUGGGUAGCAAACAGGAUUAGAUACCCUGGUAGUC
Molecule: ribosomal RNA, 464 nt
Filed under: Vreelandella stevensii
Lineage: Bacteria; Pseudomonadati; Pseudomonadota; Gammaproteobacteria; Oceanospirillales; Halomonadaceae
Description: partial 16S ribosomal RNA
Rfam family: Bacterial small subunit ribosomal RNA
Source: RNAcentral